RNAcentral lists this long non-coding RNA (383 nucleotides) under Homo sapiens (human). RNAcentral's name for it is "HSALNT0337815". The record is from RNAcentral. Lineage: Eukaryota; Metazoa; Chordata; Mammalia; Primates; Hominidae.
CCCCCUUUGACAAUUGUUUAGAUUCAACUCAAAGGAACAUCAUUUCAUCACAAUACUUAGUGAUAUCUGACCUUGAAGCUGAAACAGCAAGGAAAGAAAUGUGAAGAUAAUGAUUUUGUACACAUGGAACCCUCAUGGUCCACAGAACUUAUCUGAAAAUGGAAGCAAAUAUUAUGAAGUUCUGAGAACUGAGCUGUGAUGAGUUCUAUCACAGCAAUGACUUUUGAAAUCCAGAAAGCCCCUGAGGAACAGAAGGAGACUGGUUUUGCCCUAUGAUCUGUCAUGUAUCAGAAUGUGAUACUGUCUAAUACUAUAGUUUAAGACAUUUCUAACUAGGGAGUGAACAGGUAUUUAUUCUUCUUACAGAAAUAAAGAAGAGAAUA